AGGCUCACUUCAGCAGCAUAUAUACUAAAAUUAGACUGGUACAGAGAAGAUUAGCAUGGACCCUACACACAGAUAACACACAAAUUCAUUGUGUUCCAUUAAAAAAGA
RNAcentral lists this small nuclear RNA (108 nucleotides) under Ursus thibetanus thibetanus. The record is from RNAcentral. Lineage: Eukaryota; Metazoa; Chordata; Mammalia; Carnivora; Ursidae.